GACGAACGCUGGCGGCGUGCUUAAUACAUGCAAGUCGAACGGAAAGGCCCUGCUUUUGUUGGUUUCUCGUUUGGCGAACGGGUGUGUAACACGUGUGUAACCUGUCCUUGACUUUGGGAUAACUUCAGGAAACUGCGGCUAAUAUCGGAUAUGAUCUCCUGCUGCAUGUUGUUGGUUGGAAAGUUUCGGCGGUUGUGUAUGGACUCGCUGGUUAUCAGCUUGUUGGUGGGGUAGUGGCUUACCAAGGCUUUGACGGGUAGCCUGCCUGGGAGGGUGACCGGGCACAAUGGGACUGAGAUAGGGACCAGACUCCAACGGGCGGCAGCAGUGGGGAAUCUUGCGGAAUGGGGGGAAGUCUGAUGCAGAAGCGCCCGGUGCGGGAUGCCGGGCUUCGGGUUGUAAACAGAUUUCGAAUGUGACGAAGCGUGAGUGACGGUAAUGGGUCAAGAAGCACCGGCUAACUACGUG
This 468-nucleotide ribosomal RNA is filed under the name uncultured bacterium. RNAcentral's name for it is "partial 16S ribosomal RNA". It matches the Rfam family "Bacterial small subunit ribosomal RNA", at positions 28 to 507 of the family's 1533-position model. The record is from RNAcentral.